CAGUCGCCGCGGUAAUACGUAGGGUGCAAGCGUUGUCCGGAUUUAUUGGGCGUAAAGAGCUCGUAGGCGGUUUGUCGCGUCGAAUGUGAAAGCCCGGGGCUUAACCCCGGGUCUGCAUUCGAUACGGGCAGACUAGAGUUCGGUAGGGGAGACUGGAAUUCCUGGUGUAGCGGUGAAAUGCGCAGAUAUCAGGAGGAACACCGGUGGCGAAGGCAGCCCCCUGGGCCAAUACUGACGCUCAUGCACGAAAGCGUGGGGAGCAAACAGGAUUAGAUACCCGCGUAGUCCCUGUCUCUUAUAC
Molecule: ribosomal RNA, 301 nt
Filed under: uncultured bacterium
Lineage: Bacteria
Description: partial 16S ribosomal RNA
Rfam family: Bacterial small subunit ribosomal RNA
Source: RNAcentral